RNAcentral lists this transfer-messenger RNA (349 nucleotides) under marine eukaryotic metagenome. It matches the Rfam family "transfer-messenger RNA". From Rfam's summary of the family: Bacterial tmRNA, also known as 10Sa RNA or SsrA, is named for its dual tRNA and mRNA-like properties. Its role is to liberate the mRNA from a stalled ribosome. To accomplish this part of the tmRNA is used as a reading frame that ends in a translation stop signal. The record is from RNAcentral.
GGGGGCGACCGGUUUCGACGGGAUAAGAUCAUUGUAGGACUGCAUGCGGAGAUCUCGGAAUUCUCCUAAAACAUCCGAACAUUCGUACAUGCCGAUUACGGCUAUAUGGCCGCAGCUUAAGAUUGCGACCCGUCCUUUAUCCGAUUUGUCUAUGGUUGGAUAAAAGGGCGUCGACUACAUAGACUGGUCUUUAUAUGUGCCCAACAUAUUGAGAUGAGAUCCUUUGGGCUGGUUUCGUUAUUUGUUUGUCCUUGGCCAUUAGCGAAAUAAGACCUAGCUAAGAGACUAAUCAUGUAGAUGUUUUACAGGGGUUUAUUUCGGACGGGAGUUCGACUCUCCCCGCCUCCAC